UAACCUGCUAAAUAGUUAGGCCAACGUUUGUUGGUCGUCAACUUCUUAGAGGGACUAUUGACUAUUAGUCAAUGGAAGUUUGAGGCAAUAACAGGUCUGUGAUGCCCUUAGAUGUUCUGGGCCGCACGCGCGCUACACUGAUCAAGUCAGCGAGUUUACAACCUUGGCCGGAAGGUCUGGGUAAUCUUUUGAAACUUGAUCGUGCUGGGGAUAGUCCAUUGCAAUUAUUGGACUUCAACGAGGAAUUCCUAGUAAGCGUGAGUCAUCAGCUCGCGUUGAUUACGUCCCUGCCCUUUGUACACACCGCCCGUCGCU
This 315-nucleotide ribosomal RNA is filed under the name uncultured fungus. RNAcentral describes it as "SSU rRNA". It matches the Rfam family "Eukaryotic small subunit ribosomal RNA", at positions 1344 to 1680 of the family's 1831-position model. The record is from RNAcentral. Lineage: Eukaryota; Fungi.